Molecule: RNA transcript, 6158 nt
Organism: Egretta garzetta (little egret)
Lineage: Eukaryota; Metazoa; Chordata; Aves; Pelecaniformes; Ardeidae
Gene: MAPK8
Gene name: mitogen-activated protein kinase 8
Exons: 12
Source: RefSeq, a predicted model, not a curated record
AGCAAAAUUUGGAUGAAGCGAUCUAACUAAGUUGCCGUCAUGAGCAGAAGCAAGCGUGACAACAAUUUCUACAGUGUUGAAAUUGGAGACUCUACUUUCACUGUAUUGAAACGGUAUCAAAACUUAAAACCAAUAGGAUCGGGAGCACAAGGGAUAGUAUGUGCAGCUUAUGAUGCCAUCCUUGAACGAAAUGUUGCAAUCAAGAAGCUAAGCCGACCAUUUCAGAACCAAACCCACGCUAAAAGAGCCUACAGAGAGCUUGUUCUUAUGAAAUGUGUUAAUCACAAAAAUAUAAUCGGCCUACUGAAUGUGUUCACACCACAGAAAUCCCUGGAAGAAUUUCAAGACGUCUACAUAGUGAUGGAGCUCAUGGAUGCAAAUCUCUGCCAAGUGAUUCAGAUGGAGCUGGACCAUGAACGGAUGUCCUAUCUUCUUUAUCAAAUGCUGUGUGGUAUCAAACAUCUUCAUUCAGCUGGUAUUAUACAUAGGGAUUUAAAGCCCAGUAAUAUAGUAGUAAAGUCAGACUGCACUUUGAAGAUUCUUGACUUUGGACUGGCCAGAACUGCAGGAACUAGUUUUAUGAUGACGCCUUAUGUAGUGACUCGUUACUACAGAGCACCAGAGGUCAUCCUAGGGAUGGGAUACAAAGAAAACGUUGACAUUUGGUCAGUUGGGUGCAUCAUGGGAGAAAUGAUCAAAGGUGGUGUUUUAUUUCCUGGUACAGAUCAUAUUGAUCAAUGGAAUAAAGUUAUAGAGCAGCUAGGAACACCAUGCCCCGAAUUUAUGAAGAAACUACAGCCUACGGUCCGAACUUAUGUGGAGAACAGACCUAAAUAUGCUGGAUAUAGUUUUGAAAAACUCUUUCCAGAUGUCCUUUUCCCAGCUGAUUCUGAACACAACAAGCUUAAAGCAAGUCAAGCAAGGGAUUUGUUAUCAAAAAUGCUGGUUAUAGAUGCUUCUAAAAGAAUCUCUGUGGAUGAAGCCCUGCAGCACCCAUACAUCAACGUUUGGUAUGAUCCAUCAGAAGCAGAAGCUCCUCCACCAAAGAUACCAGAUAAGCAGUUAGAUGAGAGGGAGCACACGAUAGAGGAAUGGAAAGAGUUAAUAUACAAGGAAGUCAUGGACCUGGAGGAGAGAACCAAGAACGGGGUUAUACGUGGACAACCAGCCCCUUUAGGUGCAGCAAUGAUCAAUGGCUCUCAACAUCCAUCUUCAUCGUCAUCUGUCAAUGAUGUGUCUUCAAUGUCAACAGAUCCAACAUUGGCCUCUGAUACAGACAGCAGUCUAGAAACCUCAGCUGGACCUCUGGGUUGCUGUAGAUGACUACUUGGUCUUUUGGGGGGCGGGAGGGGGGUCCUUUUAGUCAUUAAUAGGGCACCUUUAAAGUUUGGUGGUAUUUUUGAGUGUUUUUUCAAAAAUAAUCGUAGAAUUUAUCAUAAAGUGCUGUAAUUUUAAACUGUAAGUUGUGUUAAAAGCAGCCACUUUUUUUGCUGUAAUUAACUGUAAAAUAUUAAACCUGAUAAUUUUUAUUGUGGUUUUAAAAUCUGCAUAUUUGCUUUACUAUUAUGCUGCUGAUCUUUUUUUUACUGAAUUUGUAAGAUUUAUUUUAUCAAAGCACAUAUUAAUGUUGUGGUCAUUACCAUAUAAUGAAUUAUUUAAGAUUUUAUAGGUUUUCAAUUUUUUAAUUAGAAGUUAUUCCAGAUGUUUUGUUCAUGAUAUCCUUCAAAGUUUUAGGCUUGGUCAUAUGUCUGUGUCCAGGUGGAGGGGGAGAGAAUUCAGUGCAGGCAGCUGUAGUUUUGGACAUACUACUGUAGCUCUGGCAGUGAACAAAAUCCUCUUUUAUUUUGGCCACUUGCCUCUAAUGCUUCAGCAAAAGCAACAAUUUGUGAAUUUUUUUAGAGAAACAGUGUAAAAUCCUUUGCAAAGUGACCUCAUCUGAAUGGUUUUACUAACUUAAGAAAACAAAGCCUAUCUCCAAAGCUGCAGAAAUAUCUAGCCCAAGAAAGUAACGUGGUGUUUUCUGCAGCGUUGUGGCAUGCCAAAUCUUGUGAUCGCCAUAAAACACGAGGAUACUUCAUGAAUAAUACAUUGCAAUGCAAAUAAACUGUUUACUUCUAGCUUGUAGCCUGUUUUUGUACACGCAGAACAAAGUGUAACCAGGAUGUCUAGACUGCCAUGAGGGACGACGAGUAUGCUGUAGCUCUACUUCCAUGUAAUAUGUGAUUCUUGGGAGUUUUGUUUCUUACUAGAUUUGUCUACUAAGGUGAGUGCUUUUUGGGUAGAAGAGGGAAUGACAUGAAUGCGGUAGGGGCAAAACUUCAGCUGUUCUUUCGCCACCAAAAGUAACUGAUUGCUAAAAACCAUGAAGUGGUAGGAGAACCUCAGGAUUUCUGUAGCUAAUGCAUUAAGUGAGCAAUAUAUGCCAUCCAAAGGAGGGAGAAGUAGUGCUGUAUAAAUUAAUAUUUAUCUCUUUCAUUUCACCAUGAGACCAGUGUAGCAGAAAUCUUAAUAAUGGUUCAUUUUAAGUCAUAAAUAUUCAGUAGUUUUCAGCACUGAAGUUCCAGGUUUCAAUACACUUUUUAAACAAAAGAUAUAUUGAAAUAUGUAGAACAGUUACUAAAUAGUCAUGUAAAAUGGUGCUGCUCCUCACAGAAGUAUUUUAACUGUUUACAUUUUAUAUUUACAGAAUGAUUUAUGUAUAACUGACUUAAGUUUAUGUAUGAGUUAAACAAUCAUUCAGAAUUUAUUCCUUUGGAAAAUGCAGAUUUUUAGUGAACCUAGGCUGUAUAAUUGAUUGCCUUGUGUAGAUGCAUAUUUUGUGUAGUGAUUUAGAAUGUGAAGAGGAAUUUAAAUUAGUAACGCUCACAAAAAAUGAGCAUAGAAAAAUACAGAAGUCUUGCCAGGCACAGAGCAUAAGCAAAUGGUGUAACUGGCCACAGAGGUCAUCCAGGAGUGACUGGUGCUCUUCAGUGUGGUUCCUUCUGCUUGUUGGGUUAAGUAGGUGUCUUUCUGAAGGAAAAUUUGCUGUUGCAAUAGGUUUCAGAAAAAUAGAAGCGAUAGUAAUGCUUUUAAUAUCUAACGUCUUUUUAAAAAACUUCAGGGUUACAAGGAAUGGUAGUGUCUCAAAGAUGACUGAGUUGAUAAACUGCACAGUUGUUUUCCUGGCCUGGCUAGACUGCUGGUAAGUGCUGUGUGCGUGUAAUUUUGCUUUCCUCACUUGUAUCUAAUAUUUCGGUAUUGCCUUUCUAAAACGCAUUUGUUAAGGCAAUUAUUUUUACAGGAUCCUGCCAAAUUGUAUAUUACCUCAGAAUAGGCAGGACAUGUCUGGAUUCAUCUAGCACUGGAACAUAGAAAAUCUGCUCAAGUUGAACAGAGACCAACAGAACAGUCUAUUUUGUAAUUUUUUAUCGAAGCUUAAGCUGUGAAUUAAGCCAGUAUUUUUGGCCGUACAACAGUACUGCAUUGUUAUAUAUGGUCAAAUGAUAUUCUGCCAACCCAACGCAAUGAAGUUAAGGCUGACAAAAUCAACUUCUGAUGCCUGUAAAUGCUGUUAAGGACAGAAUUUGGUCAAUAUAAUUACUAUUUAAAUUUAUUUUGGACCCCUCUGGAUUGCAGUGGUGACUGAAAUAUUUUGAAACUUUAAAACCAUUUUUGCUAUCACUUUCCAGUGUCCUAAAGAAAAAUUGCUUUAAAAUGAAUAUGGAGUGAAGUGGUUACUAAGCUUUUAUCACAGUCUGCUGUCUAUCAGCAGUAACUUCAUGGGGUUGAUCAGCUCUAAGGAGAAUUGAGCUUCUCUUCUUUUAAGGUAGGGUUGAUGGGUGGGACCCAUUGCAGCGUGUGAGCUAUGUUAAAGGGGUUAUUUCAGUCAGGUCAGAGCUUUGCCUGCAGGAACCUAGAGUUCACUUUUUGGCACCAUCUUCAUAGCAGUGUUGUGAUUUUUUUUUUUUUCCUUUUCACUUGCUUGCAUUUUAGGCAAAUUACAGUGAUAGCAAAUUUCAAAGACAAGAAAGUCUGAUGCGGUAACGAAAUUAUCAUAAAGACAUGCUAGUCUUAACUUCCCUUUUUAUUUGUUGAAAUAUAAAAUUAUCUCAUAGGUAGUUGUACACUGCCACAGGUAGCAAACAGAUGGGUAGCUAGAGUUCAGCUGACUUUGUCUAUUGUUGGUAGCUCAUAUACUAUCUAAUACACUGUACAAUUUUAUUCUUAAAGUGUUAUUAAGCUUUAUUUUAGUCUGUGAUUCCAAAACCUUCUCGUGACAACAGGCUUCCCUGAAGUGCAUGCAACUUCCCACUUCAAGGGCUGUUCCAAUCCGUUGGGAGUUGGUAGGGAGUGAAUUACAGGGAGCUGUGCCUGAUUUCUUAUGUCAGGUGAGGUUAGAAGUUGGGCAAUAAUAACGAGAUGAAUUUCCACCUUCUCUGGUCAGAGCUGGGGCAGGCGUCAAGGAUAAAAUAGCUCCUCUCCUUUUGUAGGAAUAGGUUCUUCAAGAUUUUGAAAUAGAACUGGGAAUGAAAUCUGUUACUGUGCGCUGCACCUCUGCUCUGUGAAGUCUUUGUUAGUGCAAGACAUUGGGGUCGGAAUUGAGGUUUCUGUGUGUUGGUGUGUGUGAGAAGCUGGACUGCCAGGGCAGGACCCAUCAGCUGAACAACCUUAGGCCGGCCUGACUGACCAGGUCACCUCCAGUGCACUCAUUCUGCUAAGCUGAAGGGCGCUUUUCCCUAUGUAGGCACUGUGCGGCUUGGGUUUUUAGUUUAGAAGGACCUUACUACAAUAUACGUAAUGGCGUCUUUCUGGGUAGGAAUUCCAGCUGGACACAAAGGUAAUAACAGCAUAAAUUGUCCCGUAAGCGCCGCCGUGCCCAGACUGGCGUGCCUUCGGGGGAGGACGGGGCGAGCUGUGUUUGAGGCGGUUGUGGCGAUGGCACCCUCUGCCACCCCCGUGCCCGCGAAGUAGUGUUACUGAUGUGGGUUUGUUCUGUGGAUAAUUGCUUCUCUGAACACAGACUAUUUUACUUGUUGGAGAGCAAAAAUAAAGUACCUUAGCAGGUGUCUGCAUGAAUAUAACACUCCUGCAUUGAUGUAAGUCGCAUUCAUCUCAACAUUGCAUAAAGAAAAAUGAUCAAAAAGGUAGGACGGGGGGAGAGUUCCUACCCAGCCAGUGAUGCAGAGCAUACGGCCUUACGUUUCUCGGGUAAGAUGAUGGGGGAAAGGGGAGGAGGUGGUUCAGCUUAUGCUUGGUCUGACUGUUCCGAGUUGCUAGAGGAAGUGAAUUACUGUUUCUAGAGAGGUUUUUAUUUGCUGCUGAGAGCAGCUUGUCACAUUUUGGUUUCCCAUCAGUGUUUUGGUUCUUACGUAUUUAGUUUGAGGACGGGAGUUGAAGGAGGGCUGCCUGCGUUUUUCAGUAAGAUUAGAAAGAGGGGUUUAAUGGAGAGAUGUGAUGAGACUCUACUGCCUACCCUAAGUUUCAAUUUACUUAUUCUUAGUUAAGGGCACUGGAUAAAAGUGGUAUUUUAAGCAAUCUCUUUCACUCCCUUCUUCUCCUCUUUAGAUAUCCCUGCAUUACAGAAACGUGUUAUGAAUCAGAUCCCAUUGUGUUUCUACUUCUGCAGUUAAAAAUUUAAGCUAGGUUUUCUUGAACUACCUCACACAAACUUUCUACGUUUCUUAAGUAAGCAAAGCUAACCCUUGCUAUUGGAACUACACUGAAUGUGAAUAGAAAAAUACACUUCCUUUAGAAAAAUAAACUGAUUGGCCAAUGUUGAGACAAUAUCAGUAAGUAUGUUUCUUAUAUAUUUCACGUAAGAUGUUCAUGUGUAAUAUAUAGCUCGUGUACAAUAAUGUACAUCUAGAAUAUUGUGUUAGCUGUAAAUUGGUGAUUUUAUUAUUGUAGUCUGGUUUUGUAGGUAAAAAUAGCUUACUAGUAAUGUCAGCUCAUCCUUUACAUUUUACAAAAGGAAUAAUUCUUGGUAAGCUUUGCAUACAGAUGAAUUACUUUUGUAGGCCCAAUAUCUAGUCUAUUUUUGAGAGUUCUUUAACUUUUAUUACUAAAGUUGAGAAAAAAAAAAACCCUAAUUAUUGUGAUCAUUCCUUCUGCCCCUUUUGAAAUAUAUUCUUAAUUUUAUUUUGUCCCAAGAAAUACGAAGGGGAAGAUACACCAUUAAA